This 227-nucleotide unclassified non-coding RNA is filed under the name Hevea brasiliensis (rubber tree). Lineage: Eukaryota; Viridiplantae; Streptophyta; Magnoliopsida; Malpighiales; Euphorbiaceae. The record is from RNAcentral.
CAGAGACUUAGAACCCAAGAAAAGGUUUUCCUGAUCAAAAUCUUCGUGUUUCCCAUCUGGGUUUUUAAAUUUUCGAGCUUUCGUCGAUCAGAACGGCUCGCUUUGUUUAAUUUGUUGUUUUCAUCCAUGUUUUUAUUUUCAAUUCUUAAUCUAUAAGUUUCCAUUCCUAUUUUUUACCAAUUGACUAUUUCACUACCCAGGUUUUUCGAGGCGGAGGUGUUAAAUCU